GUAGUUCUAGGCUGGAGGAGCAGUGCAGGAGACCAGAGAAAAGUGAACUUAUUCAAGUACAUAUAUUCUAGAAGGUCUUCAAAACUGUUGAAAAGGAGUGUAGGGGGAACUUACCCAGUCACUUAAUGAGCUAUUCUUUGAAAAAUGUCCUGGGUACCUUCAACCAGAAAAAUAUGCUAAAAAAGAAAAGUCCUUAGUGUCUUGCCAAACUAGGUCUUGAAGUAAUGGCAUGAAGAAAAUAUAGAAGUCGAUUACAGUGUCAGAGAAAUGGAGCUUCAUUAACUCUAAUAAAAAUAGAUAAAUAUGAUCCACGCGCUUCUGGAGAAGUCGCUCAGGUUGUUCGAGACAGAUGCUCUGUAGCCACAUCAACUGGAGAGCAUCACAGAAAAAGUAUCCGCGGAUGUUUUCAACCAGGCAAUAGGAAGGCAGCGAAGCAACGAUUCAAGACUCUUCACAAAAGAGGCGAAAAGAGAGACGUUUUCAGCCCCGCAGCAGUGGCCAAGCCCAGACCUCAAGUGGAUGGAUGCCUCUGGAAGUGUCUUCCUGAACGAACCCAUCAGGCAGUAGAAGACUGUGGCGGGGCUAGUGAACUUAGAUGA
This 599-nucleotide long non-coding RNA is filed under the name Bos grunniens (domestic yak). RNAcentral describes it as "lncRNA (ENSBGRG00000002748.1)". The record is from RNAcentral. Lineage: Eukaryota; Metazoa; Chordata; Mammalia; Artiodactyla; Bovidae.